Molecule: long non-coding RNA, 2474 nt
Organism: Schistocerca cancellata (South American locust)
Lineage: Eukaryota; Metazoa; Arthropoda; Insecta; Orthoptera; Acrididae
Exons: 5
Source: RefSeq, a predicted model, not a curated record
AACGGAUUGCUGGACAUCAGCUUCUAAUGAAAGUUAUAUUGCUGUGACUGGACACUUCAUAAAUGAACAAUUCAGAUUACAGUCUGUACUGCUGGAAUAGUCAUUUCAGUGGUUUCCAUACCAGCUCAAAUUUGUCCAAGUUAGUCUUGGUGGCAAAAUUUUAAUGGUGGUCACGGACAAUGCACCAAAUAUGAAAAAUGGAGUUACCACCAUCCUCAAGUGGAAACAUUAUGGUUGUUACGCGCAUACUCUUUAAUUUAGUUGUGCAGGAUGCACUUGAAAAUGUUCAGGUAGUUCACCAGAAAGUCAAGACAAUUGUAGGUUUUAUUAUUUUAUUUUUUUAAAGGAGCAGCAGUGCAACAGAGUGGCUCUUAACAUGCCAACAGAACAGUGGCAAAGUAAACAUCAAGAAAUUGAUACAGGACUUGCCCACAAGGUGGAAUUCAACCCUGUUUAUGUUGGAAUGUAUUGUUGAAUUAUCAGAGGCAGUAAAAUUACAUUUUCCCUUUGUAACAGGCCCACAGAGCUUCCAUCACUGUCAAAUGAGUGGGAAAUCUGCUCUGAACUCUGUUCAAUUUUUGAAACCGUCUGAGCAGGUUUCGAGGCAUCUCAGUGCAGAGGAGUACCCAGCCGACAGCUUGGUUUUAGUCCUGACACAUGGCCUUCUGGCAGUGUGUGAUGAAAUAGCCAAAAUGCGGUUACAUGAAGUUUCAAUGAAAGUUGUUGAUGCACUGAAAGAGGGGCUUACGAACCGGUUUUCGAAUCUUGAGCAGAGCAAAUCCAUUGCCCUUGCUACUCUGCUGGAUCCAUGAUUCAAAUUGCUGGCAUUUCAGAACCAGACAGCAGAAGAGAACACGAAGAAACAGUUAAUUAAUAUUGUUGCCCAUAAAUUGGAAAAAUGUAUGCCAGGAGGUAUUCAGCCUUCACAACAACCUGCUGAGCCAAAUAAUUUGGCAACUGAGUCCUCUGUGUGGGGCAUAUUUGAUAAGUUAGGGAAACAUGCACAGCCACAGGGCACAGUACAGUCAUGUGCUAUUGUAGAGGUUCAAAGAUAUGUUGACAGCUCAGUCAUCAGUAGAAAUGAGGAUCCUCUGGCAUGAUGGAGACAAAAUCAGUACAUAUACCCAACCAUUGCAAAAGUAGUGCGACAGAGCCAUCGAAUAUAGAAAAACUAUUUCUGAAUGCCAGUGGUACUUGUGAUUAGACACUUGCUGAAAAUUGUGGACAACUCUAUAAUGCCUAGGAAAAUGUAAAAUAUGUAACAGGGCUCUUUAAACACAACCAAACAAGACCUCACAACUGUAUGAUGUUUAGCAAAAUGUAAAAUAUAAAGGUGACAGAGGAACAGGUCAUACUGGGAGUAGUAUGUCUGUGAGUUGGAUGGAGCACAGUAACUGAUUUGAUACCAUCAAAGCACAAAGCUUUGUAGUGAUUAAAAUGGUGAGUGAAUGUAAAUAAAGAAAUAACACUUCCAGUAUACUAAAACCUGCUACUUUAAGCUACAUUUCAGAAAUAUCUUGAGCACCUCAACUUCAAAAAUAGCAGGAAUACCAUCUAGAAUGAGUGACGACAGUCAGUCAAUGAUAAUCCAUGAGCUUAGGCUGAAGGAAAAUAAAUUCUAUAUAUUUAAUAAAAGUUGAUUAUAAUGUGUGAUGUAGACAAAUAAUAAUCUGUUUUGUGCUAUCUUUUACAUAAUCUUGGUGGCAACAUGUGGAGCAAAACUGGAAUGAGCAAAGAAUACCAACCAAAUUUAAGACCCAAAAAGAGCCACGACCAGUGGUGGAACACACACAAGUUUGAAAAAUUUGUUCCAAAUGCAGACUAACAGUGAUUUUGUUGAUUGUAGAUGUACAUAUGUUCCUGUCUCCUGCUAAAAAUGAUGCACCAUCCCAACCAGCAAAUUUUACUUUGUUAUUUAGAACUUUUUAAAUUGCAUUAAUUAAGAGCCACCUGCACUUUGAGAUGACUAAAACUGUUGAGAUUUUAUUAGUGAUCCAAUAAAAAGAUUAACAUGUGGGACAUGUGAAAUGUGUGAACAUAUUUGUUUUGCUCAUACUUGUACAAAUGCUUCAUGUAACCUGACGAGGCAAAGAAGAUCCCUCAAGAUUGCAACAUGAAAUAUUUAAUACGUAGCACAACUGUACACAGUUGAUAACGUCCUUCUGGGGUUUUGAGGAGCUGGUUUUCCUUCAGACCAUGGGCAAAUGCCAGGACGUAUGAGAAGUUUCCAGCUCAGAAAAUGCUCAUUUUUAUGAAUUUGUCAGUAAAAUGCUGUAGAUAAAUACCAAAAGAAAAAUGCUUCCUGUAACACAGAUAUUUUAUUAAAAAUGUGUCAUAAUAAUGCAAGUUGUAACUUUUAUAAAUAUUUAGUCUGUGUAACUUGUAAAACUGAAUUAAUUAUGUAGCUUGUCUACAUAACAAUGUAACUGUAUUUACACCAACAUUGUAUGAUUUAAUAUUUACUGACAGUGCCA